GGUUGACCUCGGAUUAG
RNAcentral lists this ribosomal RNA (17 nucleotides) under Hypomontagnella submonticulosa. Its description in RNAcentral is "partial 28S ribosomal RNA". Lineage: Eukaryota; Fungi; Ascomycota; Sordariomycetes; Xylariales; Hypoxylaceae. The record is from RNAcentral. RNAcentral also lists the same sequence under 3 other names.